Alligator sinensis (Chinese alligator) is the source of this 487-nucleotide long non-coding RNA. RefSeq lists it as uncharacterized. NCBI's taxonomy places the organism in Eukaryota, Metazoa, Chordata, Crocodylia, Alligatoridae. The transcript is spliced from 4 exons. The record is from RefSeq and is a predicted model, not a curated record.
UUCUCAGAGUACACACAGCCUACCAGCCAAACACUCAGCAAAACCAAAGGCAUGAGCAACUGGAUCAUUUACCUUUCCUGGUGAUCACUACAAGCUGUCAAGAGUGGGGAAUGAAACAGAACUUGAAAAAACUUAAGAUCCAAACUGAAGAAGAAGGUGGAACCUGAAAGCAAGUGGAGAAAUGCAGUCAUGGGGAAGAACAAGGGCCACAUAUUUCACCUGGAUCUUCAGCUACCUAGAAAGAAGCACAAGCCAAAUUGCCUAGGAAGUGUCAUGAGCCAAAGGAAAAGCUCCAAAGUUUUCCAUUGAGUUUGCUGCAACCAGAAAGACUUCUACAGAUCUGGGAAGAGAACACCAAAGAAACAUCUUUAGAGCCUCUUCUAGUGGAAGAAACACAAGGGAUCACACAGACCUACAUUUCAAAAAUGGUCAACAGCCUAUGCAAAAUGGAACUCUUCCCAGAAGUGAUACUAGUUUUUGACCUGCU